Molecule: small RNA, 336 nt
Filed under: uncultured Diversispora
Lineage: Eukaryota; Fungi; Glomeromycota; Glomeromycetes; Diversisporales; Diversisporaceae
Description: SSU rRNA
Rfam family: Eukaryotic small subunit ribosomal RNA
Source: RNAcentral
UUGGAGGGCAAGUCUGGUGCCAGCAGCCGCGGUAAUUCCAGCUCCAAUAGCGUAUAUUAAAGUUGUUGCAGUUAAAAAGCUCGUAGUUGAACUUCGGGGUCUACCCAUUGGUCAGGCUUAAUUGUCUGCACUGGUGAGAUGGAUCUCUACCUUCUGAGGAACUUUCAUGCCAUUUAUUUGGUGUGGUUGGAAAUCAGGACUGUUACUUUGAAAAAAUUAGAGUGUUUAAAGCAGACUAUCGUCUGAAUACAUUAGCAUGGAAUAAUGAAAUAGGACGGACUGAUUCUAUUUCGUUGGUUUCUAGGAUCACCGUAAUGAUUAAUAGGGAUAGUUGGG